CGCUUCUUUUUCCACCGGAGCUUGCUCCACCGGAAAAAGAGGAGUGGCGAACGGGUGAGUAACACGUGGGUAACCUGCCCAUCAGAAGGGGAUAACACUUGGAAACAGGUGCUAAUACCGUAUAACAAUCAAAACCGCAUGGUUUUGAUUUGAAAGGCGCUUUCGGGUGUCGCUGAUGGAUGGACCCGCGGUGCAUUAGCUAGUUGGUGAGGUAACGGCUCACCAAGGCCACGAUGCAUAGCCGACCUGAGAGGGUGAUCGGCCACAUUGGGACUGAGACACGGCCCAAACUCCUACGGGAGGCAGCAGUAGGGAAUCUUCGGCAAUGGACGAAAGUCUGACCGAGCAACGCCGCGUGAGUGAAGAAGGUUUUCGGAUCGUAAAACUCUGUUGUUAGAGAAGAACAAGGAUGAGAGUAACUGUUCAUCCCUUGACGGUAUCUAACCAGAAAGCCACGGCUAACUACGUGCCAGCAGCCGCGGUAAUACGUAGGUGGCAAGCGUUGUCCGGAUUUAUUGGGCGUAAAGCGAGCGCAGGCGGUUUCUUAAGUCUGAUGUGAAAGCCCCCGGCUCAACCGGGGAGGGUCAUUGGAAACUGGGAGACUUGAGUGCAGAAGAGGAGAGUGGAAUUCCAUGUGUAGCGGUGAAAUGCGUAGAUAUAUGGAGGAACACCAGUGGCGAAGGCGGCUCUCUGGUCUGUAACUGACGCUGAGGCUCGAAAGCGUGGGGAGCAAACAGGAUUAGAUACCCUGGUAGUCCACGCCGUAAACGAUGAGUGCUAAGUGUUGGAGGGUUUCCGCCCUUCAGUGCUGCAGCUAAC
Molecule: ribosomal RNA, 819 nt
Filed under: Enterococcus faecium
Lineage: Bacteria; Bacillati; Bacillota; Bacilli; Lactobacillales; Enterococcaceae
Description: bacterial SSU rRNA
Rfam family: Bacterial small subunit ribosomal RNA
Source: RNAcentral